Long non-coding RNA from Gastrolobium bilobum, 823 nucleotides. RefSeq lists it as uncharacterized. Lineage: Eukaryota; Viridiplantae; Streptophyta; Magnoliopsida; Fabales; Fabaceae. The record is from RefSeq and is a predicted model, not a curated record. The transcript is spliced from 5 exons.
UCCUCUUUCUUUCUUCUUCCUUAGUUCGUGAGCUUCAAUGGAGAAAGGGCAAGAGAGAACUUGAUGAUUUGGUCACCAUUUCAUCCAGACUCCAACAUAGAAAAGCAGCGCCUGCACAUGAAAGGAAGGAGAAAAUGGAUUGAUUCCAUAGUUCUAAGCUUAGGGAAGUCAUCAAUAGUUAUUGGUUAGGCUAUCUAAGAGUGUAAUCAGAUGAAGUAGGUGGACGAACAACUUGUAGACAACCAAGUGUACGGGUUAUUAAAUAGCAAGUUAGCAGCAGGAAAGAGACGACAGAGUGUAAUCAGAUGAAGUAGGUGGACGAACAACUUGUAGACAACCAAGUGUACGGGUUAUUAAAUAGCAAGUUAGCAGCAGGAAAGAGACGACAGGAAGUGGACUCUUGGGUGGAGACUGCUCCAUAAACCCCAAGUUUAUUGAGAUUCAUUCUCACCCCGCGUUAUGGGGAUAUAUUUCAGGUAUCGCAGCAGUUGACGAUCGUUCUCGGGGCAAGAGGCCCGUGGUUGAUGAGUAGAUCUGAGCAUAGAUGUUGCCUGCUUAUUUUGGGAGUCUGUUGUAUAUAUUGUGACACUGUGAUGUAUUAUGUUUAUGUAGGUUGAUGUAGGAUGUUGUAGUUAUGGCACAGAGUCACCUUUUUGAUAUGAUAUAUAUAGAGUUAUGGAUCAUGUAUGUAUACUACUGUAUAUGAUAUGGAAUUGUUGUAUAUUGUGGGUUGUAAGAGCCCCAAGGCAUUGCUGGUCCUUGUGUGUGCCACCCAUUGGAUUAUUAGGUAUAUUUGUGGUAUUAGCAAGCUUAUGUAAAUUUG